RNAcentral lists this ribosomal RNA (535 nucleotides) under uncultured bacterium. RNAcentral describes it as "partial 16S ribosomal RNA". It matches the Rfam family "Bacterial small subunit ribosomal RNA", at positions 355 to 881 of the family's 1533-position model. The record is from RNAcentral.
UGGGGAAUAUUGGACAAUGGGGGCAACCCUGAUCCAGCCAUGCCGCGUGUGUGAAGAAGGCCUUUUGGUUGUAAAGCACUUUAAGCAGGGAGGAGAGGCUAAUGGUUAAUACCCAUUAGAUUAGACGUUACCUGCAGAAUAAGCACCGGCUAACUCUGUGCCAGCAGCCGCGGUAAUACAGAGGGUGCGAGCGUUAAUCGGAAUUACUGGGCGUAAAGCGAGUGUAGGUGGCUCAUUAAGUCACAUGUGAAAUCCCCGGGCUUAACCUGGGAACUGCAUGUGAUACUGGUGGUGCUAGAAUAUGUGAGAGGGAAGUAGAAUUCCCAGGUGUAGCGGUGAAAUGCGUAGAGAUCUGGAGGAAUACCGAUGGCGAAGGCAGCUUCCUGGCAUAAUAUUGACGCUGAGAUUCGAAAGCGUGGGUAGCAAACAGGAUUAGAUACCCUGGUAGUCCACGCCGUAAACGAUGUCUACUAGCCGUUGGGUCCUUGAGACUUUAGUGGCGCAGUUAACGCGAUAAGUAGACCGCCUGGGGAGU